AGGAUUCAAACAUGGGGAAUGACUAGUUGCUUAAGCGUUCACGUUAGGGUCAUACAAUCAAUUACCUCGUAAAUGUAUCGUCUCUAUUUCCAAUAUCUAAACACACAAUGAAACUAUAAUCUCCUCCUUCACCUUAUCGGUCUCUUCCUUAUAUUAAUUCAGUCAUACCAAUAACUGCUAUUUCUACCAAUAUAUUCACCCUCAUAAUCUCCAAGUGUAAUACUGAGCCUUCACAGCUUUCAGCUAACAAUUACCCUCAUUCCAAUCACUGGAAUUCUUCACACAGAACUGCCAUUCACAUUACAGUAUUUUAUACAAACACAAACUCAUUCUCUCUAUUGAACUACAAUCAGAUUUUAGCAUUCAAAUAAUACCAAUCAUAUUUUCAUUCCAUAAUUUACUUCACAAUAUUUAGAAACUCUCAAUCCUUUUAUUCAAAGAAAAUAACAAACAAAAGAAAAGAGGUAGCACCAAGCUUACCC
This 482-nucleotide long non-coding RNA is filed under the name Physcomitrium patens. Its description in RNAcentral is "long non-coding RNA (PPAT_LNC000493)". Lineage: Eukaryota; Viridiplantae; Streptophyta; Bryopsida; Funariales; Funariaceae. The record is from RNAcentral.